This 62-nucleotide transfer RNA is filed under the name uncultured Pseudomaricurvus sp. It matches the Rfam family "tRNA", at positions 6 to 65 of the family's 71-position model. Rfam says of the family: Transfer RNA (tRNA) molecules are approximately 80 nucleotides in length. Their secondary structure includes four short double-helical elements and three loops (D, anti-codon, and T loops). The record is from RNAcentral. Lineage: Bacteria; Pseudomonadati; Pseudomonadota; Gammaproteobacteria; Cellvibrionales; Cellvibrionaceae.
CUGUAGCUGAGUGGUAAAGCGUCCGGCCGUUAACCGGAAGAUCGUAGGUUCGAUCCCUACCA